Molecule: small nucleolar RNA, 132 nt
Filed under: Mus pahari (shrew mouse)
Lineage: Eukaryota; Metazoa; Chordata; Mammalia; Rodentia; Muridae
Description: predicted gene, 24579 (MGP_PahariEiJ_G0034094.1)
Rfam family: Small nucleolar RNA SNORA17
About the family: snoRNA ACA 17 belongs to the H/ACA family of snoRNAs and is predicted to guide pseudouridylation of the 28S rRNA at positions U4659 and U4598. It shares the same host gene together with ACA43.
Source: RNAcentral
AUUGUCCCAAGAGGCAUUGCAGGUGUGCCUGCUGUGUUACAUGUGCAUCUGUAGGUGGCAGAAAAGAGACAGGCUAUGUCUUCAUUCUCUGUUCUGACCUAUGAACAUCUGAAUGGUUAGUAGCCUAACACG